GGGGUUGUGGCUCAGUAGUAGAGUGCUUGUCUAUCAUGCUUGAGGCACUGGGUUCAAUCCCCAGAACCACA
This 71-nucleotide transfer RNA is filed under the name Ictidomys tridecemlineatus (thirteen-lined ground squirrel). RNAcentral describes it as "Spermophilus tridecemlineatus (thirteen-lined ground squirrel) tRNA". It matches the Rfam family "tRNA". From Rfam's summary of the family: Transfer RNA (tRNA) molecules are approximately 80 nucleotides in length. Their secondary structure includes four short double-helical elements and three loops (D, anti-codon, and T loops). Further hydrogen bonds mediate the characteristic L-shaped molecular structure. tRNAs have two regions of fundamental functional importance: the anti-codon, which is responsible for specific mRNA codon recognition, and the 3' end, to which the tRNAs corresponding amino acid is attached (by aminoacyl-tRNA synthetases). tRNAs cope with the degeneracy of the genetic code in two manners: having more than one tRNA (with a specific anti-codon) for a particular amino acid; and 'wobble' base-pairing, i.e. permitting non-standard base-pairing at the 3rd anti-codon position. The record is from Rfam by way of RNAcentral. Lineage: Eukaryota; Metazoa; Chordata; Mammalia; Rodentia; Sciuridae.